GUGCUUGCAUCUUGAUUUAAUCUUUGAACGAGUGGCGGACGGGUGAGUAACACGUGGGUAACCUGCCCUUAAGUGGGGGAUAACAUUUGGAAACAGAUGCUAAUACCGCAUAAAUCCAAGAACCGCAUGGUUCUUGGCUGAAAGAUGGCGUAAGCUAUCGCUUUUGGAUGGACCCGCGGCGUAUUAGCUAGUUGGUGAGGUAACGGCUCACCAAGGCAAUGAUACGUAGCCGAACUGAGAGGUUGAUCGGCCACAUUGGGACUGAGACACGGCCCAAACUCCUACGGGAGGCAGCAGUAGGGAAUCUUCCACAAUGGACGCAAGUCUGAUGGAGCAACGCCGCGUGAGUGAAGAAGGCUUUCGGGUCGUAAAACUCUGUUGUUGGAGAAGAAUGGUCGGCAGAGUAACUGUUGUCGGCGUGACGGUAUCCAACCAGAAAGCCACGGCUAACUAC
RNAcentral lists this ribosomal RNA (454 nucleotides) under Lacticaseibacillus rhamnosus. RNAcentral's name for it is "bacterial SSU rRNA". It matches the Rfam family "Bacterial small subunit ribosomal RNA", at positions 64 to 504 of the family's 1533-position model. The record is from RNAcentral. Lineage: Bacteria; Bacillati; Bacillota; Bacilli; Lactobacillales; Lactobacillaceae.